This 45-nucleotide non-coding RNA is filed under the name Klebsiella planticola. RNAcentral describes it as "Raoultella planticola Guanidine-II sequence". It matches the Rfam family "Guanidine-II riboswitch aptamer (mini-ykkC)". Rfam says of the family: Simpler in structure and has fewer highly conserved nucleotide positions than the ykkC-yxkD leader. RNAcentral also lists the same sequence under 1 other name. Lineage: Bacteria; Pseudomonadati; Pseudomonadota; Gammaproteobacteria; Enterobacterales; Enterobacteriaceae. The record is from RNAcentral.
CUUACGGGACGACCUGUAAGCGUAUCGCAUUCGGGGACGGCCCCA